AGUGAACGCUGGCGGUAGGCCUAACACAUGCAGGUCGAACGGCAGCACAGUAAGAGCUUGCUCUUACGGGUGGCGAGUGGCGGACGGGUGAGGAAUACAUCGGAAUCUACUUUUUCGUGGGGGAUAACGUAGGGAAACUUACGCUAAUACCGCAUACGACCUACGGGUGAAAGCAGGGGAUCUUCGGACCUUGCGCGAUUGAAUGAGCCGAUGUCGGAUUAGCUAGUUGGCGGGGUAAAGGCCCACCAAGGCGACGAUCCGUAGCUGAUCUGAGAGGAUGAUCAGCCACACUGGAACUGAGACACGGUCCAGACUCCUACGGGAGGCAGCAGUGGGGAAUAUUGGACAAUGGGCGCAAGCCUGAUCCAGCCAUACCGCGUGGGUGAAGAAGGCCUUCGGGUUGUAAAGCCCUUUUGUUGGGAAAGAAAAGCAGCAGGUUAAUACCCCGCUGUUCUGACGGUACCCAAAGAAUAAGCACCGGCUAACUUCGUG
Molecule: ribosomal RNA, 492 nt
Filed under: uncultured bacterium
Lineage: Bacteria
Description: partial 16S ribosomal RNA
Rfam family: Bacterial small subunit ribosomal RNA
Source: RNAcentral